This is a long non-coding RNA of Pan troglodytes (chimpanzee), 1010 nucleotides long. RefSeq lists it as uncharacterized. NCBI's taxonomy places the organism in Eukaryota, Metazoa, Chordata, Mammalia, Primates, Hominidae. The transcript has 7 exons. The record is from RefSeq and is a predicted model, not a curated record.
AAACUAGAGAUGAAAUUCUACAGGUCUUUGAAAUGCUUUACAUUUGAGAAUGAAGCUCAGCUGAAGUUUGAACAGCAUACUGACAUAUACCAACAAGAAUGAAAAUAACUUAACAGCAAUUUUAUAAAUUCACAUCCCCCAGAGCACCACAGAGUAAAGAAAUACUGCAUAUGGGUAACAACUGGUUCUUAGUUACUAAAUCUGAAAGAUCAAAUAAAGUUAAUUACAUAAGCUGCUCUUGAGUUUUUCUGGGGGAAUAUACCAGGAGACCAUAAUCAAGGUACCAGUUUAUUGAUGGCUGUUCUUAAUAAAUACAACUCUUCAAGAAAAUAAGAUCCUCUAUACACUGUUGAUGUAUAGCCACGAGAAAAAAAAAAGAAAAAUUUUUGCUCUCAAUGAGCUUGCAUUUAAGCAUCUAUAAAAGGUGAGAUUAAUAUUUACUCAGUGAACUUUGAAUAAAGCAUUGGGUGCUUCAUUAGGUGGAUGAGUCUCAUCCAAUCAGUUGAAGGUGACUGAAUAGAACCAUAGAUCGACCUCACAUAAAUGAGAGGGAAUUCUGCAACAGAUCAUCUUUGCCUUUGAACUGCAGCGUGGACUCCCCUCUGUGUCUCCUGCCUGCCAGCCCACCCUGCAGAGUUUGCAUUUGCCAGCCUCCACAAUCAGGUAAUUUAUCCUGUGCAUUAGCAAGAGGAAGUCUAGAGCCAUGGAAACCAAGUCAGGAAACUUCUCUCUUAUUAUUAGGUCAACAGCAAAUCUAGUUGAGACUGCAAAUCGAGGUUUUUCUCAGGGGAAGCCGAGCUCCAGACUAUUCAUUUGUCCUGAGGCAGCCACCGGAAACACAAUCAUUUUGUAUUUCUACGAUGUUUUGACCUUUUAUCCAAGUCAGCCCUAUAGAAUGGGCCAGGAGGUUGCUGCCACUGAAUAAGCCACUGUGAUUUUUAGCGUCAAGAAUUUUGCUGUUAACUAUGGCAGAAAAAUAGACAGAGGACAAUAAAAAUAACUAACAUAGA